Syngnathus acus (greater pipefish) is the source of this 1302-nucleotide long non-coding RNA. RefSeq lists it as uncharacterized. Lineage: Eukaryota; Metazoa; Chordata; Actinopteri; Syngnathiformes; Syngnathidae. The record is from RefSeq and is a predicted model, not a curated record. The transcript is spliced from 4 exons.
UCCUCCUCCUGCGCGCCUUGCAUGCUGUGGCUCCUCUCGGCGGGUUUGGGCAGGGCGCUCCCGGUAGCUGAAGUGACCGACAGCAGCACUCAUGCUCCCUGACAUUGACUUAAUCUGGAUUGUGAAGUCCAACACUCUUUGUGCCUGAGUAGAGCUCAAAAUCUCAUAUCAGAGCAAGACUCAAGCAGAGAGUGAGAGUAAACUGUGGGAUGGCACAUUUCCCCUCCCUUCCUACCGCCACACUUUGCCAUUGUUCCUGCCCACAAGGAUGAUUCACCACUUGUGACCCCCAUGACUGCCUUGUUGAAAAUAGACAACAGAGAUUCCGAUGAAACCCUGCAGGUCUCUGUGAUUAUGUGUAGAUACAGAGCAGAAGUCAGCUGUCUUCUUUUUCUGAGUGACUUACUCAGACUAAACAUCAGCACUGGACCUAGAAGCUUCACAACCUCUAGCAGACAGGUGACUUUGAGACCUGUCACUGUGCAUCGCCAUCUUCUCCGGCAAUUGAACUUCAUGACCUCGUUUGGAUGGCUCUGGGAAUCGCGUUCAUCCUUGGACUUGUCGACAAGAACGAAUAUGCUUCGUAAUCAGCUCUCAGAUGAGGCUGUCUCGGGACAGGCUGGGAAUAUGAUGCUAGUUCCAGCAGGGUACUCUGAUGAAGGGUUCAGCACAGUUAGGUGCACAUGUCAUCUUGACAUUAUGAUUUUUAAAAUAACUUCCGCAAUACUUUAUACAAUAUGUUUUGUGCCUGUGAACCCAAAUGUAAUUCAAAGGAAAUUGGAGCAAUUUAUGGUCACCACCACUGCAGCGUUGAACAGAAAAAAAGCCUUAGUAAGUGCUGCCCUCUGCUGGUCAUAUCUAAUUUGACAUUCGAGGCCUAGAGAUGUAAUUACAUGUUUGUAGAGACUACGUUCACACUCAUUCGCACUUGCAAGUUGUAAAUGAAAAUGUUUGUCAUGUGUAAAGACGGGUACUCAGAGAAAACCAACGCAGGAUAUUACAAACGCCAAAAAGCCUGCACCAUGACAUUUGAAACCAGCACCUCUCAAUUAGGAGGCAGAUCAGUAUCUAAAAAGCAACCCUAUGCAUCUACUGAUAACUCUAAUAGCGUAUACCAAUAGUAAACCUAUUGUAAAAGCAAUUAAAGCGAAAUUUGGACACGUGGCGGAAUGUAAAAAAAAGCAAGGUUGACGAUAGGGAGAUGAACGUCAUAUAAACAACAUGAGACGAAACAGUCUGUUAACGUUUGAACUUGUCAUCAUCUUGUUUUAUUUUGAAGGUACCGGAAAUGCUUGGACAAUU